CCUUCACAAGCCAAGCAUCGCAAGCAGCAUGGAGUCAGCCCUAGAUGAGUAUGAGAAUGAGGGAGCACUAAUCCCAUACCUUAGAUCCCUAAUUUAAUAGGAUCUCGUAUCAAACACCUGAUUACAGAUCUCAUCAUCUAUGGGUGCGGUUGAGCCCUCAAAGGUAGGCUGAGAUCUGAUGCCUAUCAUACGAUCCUAAAAAUUAAAGUUAUAACUAUUUUAAUUUCAUACUAAAAAUUAAACUGUGAAUGAAAAAAAUAAUUAGAAAAAUUUAUAAAAAGCUCCUGAUUCCCCAUCGUCCACUCUCCUGAC
RNAcentral lists this long non-coding RNA (312 nucleotides) under Elaeis guineensis (African oil palm). RNAcentral describes it as "long non-coding RNA (EGUI_LNC018212)". The record is from RNAcentral. Lineage: Eukaryota; Viridiplantae; Streptophyta; Magnoliopsida; Arecales; Arecaceae.